GAUGAAGAACGUAGCGAAAUGCGAUAAGUAAUGCGAAUUGCAGAAUUCCAGUGAGUCAUCGAAUCUUUGAACGCACAUUGCGCCCUUUGGUAUUCCGAAGGGCAUGCCUGUUCGAGCGUCAUUAUCACCCCUCAAGCCCUCGGCUUGGUGUUAGACGGUUUGGUGGAGGCCCCCUCGGGGGCUCCUGCCCCUCCCAAAGACAAUGACGGCGGCCUCGUUGGACCCCCGGUACACUGAGUUCUUCACGGGACACGUAUCGGACACAUGGGUUUACGGGACACGGUCUGCCUCCCCUCAGGGAGAAUCUUUCUAAGGUUGACCUCGGAUCAGGUAGGGAUACCCGCUGAACUUAAGCAUAUCAAUAAGCGGAGGA
Molecule: unclassified non-coding RNA, 373 nt
Filed under: soil metagenome
Description: partial contains 5.8S ribosomal RNA, internal transcribed spacer 2, and large subunit ribosomal RNA
Rfam family: 5.8S ribosomal RNA (bases 1-121)
Source: RNAcentral